GGCUCAGGACGAACGCUGGCGGCGUGCCUAAUACAUGCAAGUCGAACGGCUUUUCUAUGGAAGCUUGCUUCCACUGAAAAGAUAGUGGCGAACGGGUGAGUAACACGUGGGUAACCUGCCCAUAAGAGGGGGGAUAACAUCCGGAAACGGGUGCUAAUACCGCAUAGUUUUCUUGAUCGCAUGAUCGGGAAAGGAAAGACGGCCUUUGUGCUGUCGCUUAUGGAUGGACCCGCGGCGUAUUAGUUAGUUGGUGAGGUAACGGCUCACCAAGACGAUGAUACGUAGCCGACCUGAGAGGGUGAUCGGCCACAUUGGGACUGAGACACGGCCCAAACUCCUACGGGAGGCAGCAGUAGGGAAUCUUCCGCAAUGGACGAAAGUCUGACGGAGCAACGCCGCGUGAGUGAAGAAAAGGUUUUCGGAUCGUAAAACUCUGUUGUCAGAGAAGAACAAGUUGGAGAGUAACUGCUCCAGCCUUGACGGUAUCUGACCAGAAAGCCACGGCUAACUACGUGCCAGCCGCAGC
This 526-nucleotide ribosomal RNA is filed under the name uncultured bacterium. RNAcentral describes it as "bacterial SSU rRNA". It matches the Rfam family "Bacterial small subunit ribosomal RNA", at positions 21 to 518 of the family's 1533-position model. The record is from RNAcentral.